GACGAACGCUGGCGGCGUGCUUAACACAUGCAAGUCGAGCGGUAAGGCCCCUUCGGGGGUACACGAGCGGCGAACGGGUGAGUAACACGUGAGCAACCUACCCUCAACUUCGGGAUAAGCCUCGGAAACGGGGUCUAAUACCGGAUAUCACUCCAUUCUUCAUGGUUUGGGGUUGAAAGUUCUGGCGGUUGGGGAUGGGCUCGCGGCCUAUCAGCUUGUUGGUGGGGUAAGUGGCCUACCAAGGCGUCGACGGGUAGCCGGCCUGAGAGGGCGACCGGCCACACUGGGACUGAGACACGGCCCACGACUCCUACGGGAGGGCAGCAGUGGGGAAGUAUUGCGCAAUGGGCGGAAAGACCUGACGCAGCAACGCCGCGUGAGGGAUGACGGCCUCGGUUGUUAACCG
This 406-nucleotide ribosomal RNA is filed under the name uncultured bacterium. RNAcentral describes it as "bacterial SSU rRNA". It matches the Rfam family "Bacterial small subunit ribosomal RNA", at positions 28 to 432 of the family's 1533-position model. The record is from RNAcentral.